This 352-nucleotide long non-coding RNA is filed under the name Ursus americanus (American black bear). RNAcentral's name for it is "lncRNA (ENSUAMG00000000110.1)". The record is from RNAcentral. Lineage: Eukaryota; Metazoa; Chordata; Mammalia; Carnivora; Ursidae.
UCACUGUGAUUUCCCUCCAGUGCCAGGUGACCGUGCUGACGGAGCCUUCACCCCUGCCCCAGCAGCCUCCCACCUCCGGCAGUGAACAAAUUGGGUUUUUGAAGACCAUCAACUGCUCCUGCCCAGCCGGAGAAAAGGGUGAAAAGGGCUCUGAUGGCCCCGUGGGACUCCCCGGCCCAAAGGGAGACAUGGGAGCCACUGGGCUGGUUGGAGCUCCUGGACCCAAGGGAGAAAAAGGUGACAUGGGCAGAGGGCCUUUUGUCCAAGGAGAGAAGGGUGAAAAGGGUUCCCUGGGCCUGCCCGGUCUCCCUGGAAGAGACGGCAGCAAAGGCAUGCGGGUACGUCUGCUCCC